GUCUGCGUCACCAAUGGAUUAUUCAUAUUUCUUACUAGUGACGCUAGUAUUGUUAUCUGUGGUCAAUUGCUUUUAAAAUACCAACGUUUACAAGAGGGAGCACUCGCUUAUGAAGCCAUGUACGGGGUCACCUGGGACUUUCAAGCUAGGGAGCGAGGUUACAACGCCUUUGACUAUUAUAAUGCAAACGCCGAGCUGAAGCAGGUCAUUGACCAGAUUGCUUCAGGAUUCUUCCGCCCAAACAACCCACGAAGAGUUCUGUGAUAUCUACAACAACCUUAUGUACUACGAUUGUUUCUUCUGUCUGGCUGAUUAUGACGACUACAUGGCCGCCCAAGAAAGGGUUAACGAGGCCUACAAGGACCAGAGCGUCUGGAUGAAGAUGUGUAUCCACAACAUUGCUUCAUCUGGUAAAUUCUCCAGUGACAGGACUAUCGCCGAAUACGCAUGUGAAAUAUGGGGCGUUGAGCCUACGUGGGAUAAGUUCCCUGCUCCUCACGAAACUAUUUAGGAAGGCAAAUGAAAUGUUGAAGCGUCUAUUUUAUCACAUUUGCAUAUUAUAGGAGGAAAAGUUUGCAAAACGUGUUCACAGUAAUCAUCACACAAUCAUGUUACAACUCGACUAAUCUCCUGUAAGUGGAAGAGUUGUAACCCGAUUGAAUAAUGUGUGGGAAAAGAACGAUCUUGUAAAUCUUUUAAAGCCGUCUCUCCAGACUGUUGUAGCCACAAUGUCAUUUAUUGUUCAUGUUUGUUAUUUUUCUUGAAUUCUAGCUUCGAUGUUGUUCUGUUUCUGUCACAGAAAGAACUUUAAUGUGAGUUUCUAUUUCUUCUCUUACCAUUUUAAAACUAUUGUGGUCAUUUUCAAAAUCCCACCUUGUUUUCCUUUCUAUGUAGUCAAAUGUAAUGAGAAUGAGGAAAUAGAUAUAAAUCCGCAUUACAAAUCUCA
This is a long non-coding RNA of Daphnia pulicaria, 946 nucleotides long. RefSeq lists it as uncharacterized. Lineage: Eukaryota; Metazoa; Arthropoda; Branchiopoda; Diplostraca; Daphniidae. The record is from RefSeq and is a predicted model, not a curated record. The transcript is spliced from 4 exons.